GACAGAGGUGCCAAGCGUUAGGCGGAAUCACUGGGCUUAAAGCGUGUGUAGGCGGAUUCCUAAGUACCUUGUGAAAUCCCACGGCUCAACCGUGGAACUGCUCGGUAUACUGGGUAUCUUGAGCCACUUAGGGGCGACCGGAACAAAUGGUGGAGCGGUGAAAUGCGUAGAGACCCGGAGGAACACCAGUGGCGAAGGCGGCGUCCUGGCCUGCGACUGACGCUGUGGCGCGAAAGCUAGGGGAGCGAACGGG
This 253-nucleotide ribosomal RNA is filed under the name uncultured bacterium. RNAcentral's name for it is "partial 16S ribosomal RNA". It matches the Rfam family "Bacterial small subunit ribosomal RNA", at positions 524 to 776 of the family's 1533-position model. The record is from RNAcentral.